AGACAUUAAUCUUAAGUAUCCAGGGAGCCCUAAAACAUUGUAUCCCACUAGCAAGGACCAUGGUAAUUGCCACGUAAAUCCCCUCCAUUAUGUGGCCCUUAUUAUGACCAGCCAGCCAAGGCUUGCCUUUAAAUCAUACCAAUUGAACCGAGCCUUGUAGAAACACUAUCACCUACGCAUACCUCUGCUUCUUUUCAUUAACCUGCUAUCCUCUUUACAAAUGGGAUUCUUCACCCACUCCCUUCUUCUAGAUUAGCAAUGCCCUGUUAAGUAAACGAACACGAAAUUCAAAGGGAAACAGGAGCAAUCAUCAUUACCAGCUGCCGUGUUAAGCAUUGCGAAAACGCUCACGAUUCACAGAAAAAUCCAUGCUGUUCUUUGAAGGCAUUCAAGCCUUAAUAGCUAGCUGGAUGAAUGUUUAACUUCUAGGCCAGGCACUACUCUGUCCCAACAAUAAGCCCUGUACAUUGGGAAAGGUGCCGAGACAUGAACUUUGGUCUUCUCUGCAAUCCAUCUGGAGCAUUCACUGACAACAUCGACUUUGAAGUUGCACUGACCUGGCCAGCCCUGCCACUUACCAGGUUGGGGUCUGCCCUCAGGGGAAGCUGUCUAACCAGAGCCUAACCCACUAGGGUUUUAUCAGAACCUAACUGACCUGAGGAAAAGAAAUACUCAACUCCAGCAAGCUCCAGCCUUCCAAAUGGAGGAGGAGAAAACCCAACUCCAGCCCACUUCAGCUAUCUUGUCCCACAUAAAGGGGAAGUGGAAGAAACCUGAGAAGCAGGCAUGAAGUUCACAGUCCAGAGACCUUGCCAUCGUAUCCCCUUUUGGAGACACAAGCCAGGAAGGAAGCUCUUCAGUGCAGCUGUGAAUAGAGAAAUGCUGGCUGAGGUUUUGGAGACACUGGGUGAUCAUUCCCAGUGAAAUUUUUAGAUCCCUGGGGACAUGAGCUGCUUUGUCUUUUCCAAGGCUGAAAAAGUUUUGGAAGCCCUCCUAAGCAGGUGCCAGACCCUUUUUUGGCCAGAGACAGGAUCUUACGCUGUUGCCCAGGCUGGAGUGCAAUAGUGUCAUCAUGGCUCACUGUAGCCUGGAACUGCUGGGCUCAAGGGAUCCUCCCAGCUCAGCCUCCCAAGUAGCUAGGAGUAAAGUCUGGAGAACACUUUUUCUUUUGAGCUGUUUACAACCUUUAGCAAUUGAGUAGAGUGUACUCUUGUCAAUAGAAUUUGAAGCACAUUUCUCUCUCUGCCUGAUUUCUGUAGAAUUUGUAAACUAUUUGUGAAUAUUCUUAAUUUAUGGCAAUAUGGUUGCUUACAUAAGUUCAAUAAUAAUCUGUUUUCUUUUACAAUGAGACACAGUUGGAGGAACUGGUUAUUUUCCCAGGGCUUUGACUGAAAUGGCCUUGUGAAUGGUUCCAGGAAAGCCAAUUUUGGAGACCCUAUGUGGAUGAUGAUGCUUGCUGUACUUUCUGUGGGUAAUCGGGCCAAGUAUAUGGGACUGAAGCUAAUUUUGCAGGUGAGAAAAUGGAGGUCCAGAGAGAAAAGUGACUCACCCAAGCUGAAAACAGUUGCAGGAAGAAAAGCCAGGACAGAACUGGGCUGUUAGAAACCUUGGAGUACACUAAAGAUGAGGAACUGAGUCACCGCAAUGCCAAAUGUAACACGCUGUGGGUCAAAAUUUGGAUGGUUGCGUUGGAAAUUAUUCUGAAGCCACAGACAGGGCUAAAAGAGUCUAGAAUGUCCUACUAGCUGUUGGAACCUGCUGGAGUUCUAAAGGCAUGCGAUGUCCUGAAUGUGCUUGACCAAUGGACACAGCAGGUAUUUGAAGAGUUUUGAUGCUUCCUUUCUGUUUUCAGUGCUAUUUUUUUGCUUUAUUUCUUUUAAAAAACUUUCCCCACAGAGGCUAUUUAUUACACAGCAGCAGCCAGCAUGCACCAAGCAGAACUGCUUUUCAUAAUAAACCUAUUUAUCUUCUGGCAUGUCAGAAAUUUCUCAAAUUGAUACUUAUAAUAAAUAUGAUUAAUAACACAUUGUA
This 2031-nucleotide long non-coding RNA is filed under the name Homo sapiens (human). Its description in RNAcentral is "PREDICTED lncRNA (TCONS_00257635)". Lineage: Eukaryota; Metazoa; Chordata; Mammalia; Primates; Hominidae. The record is from RNAcentral.